Molecule: ribosomal RNA, 449 nt
Filed under: uncultured bacterium
Lineage: Bacteria
Description: partial 16S ribosomal RNA
Rfam family: Bacterial small subunit ribosomal RNA
Source: RNAcentral
GUCGAGAAUCUUUCACAAUGGGGGCAACCCUGAUGGAGCGACACCGCGUGGAGGAUAAGGUCUUCGGAUUGUAAACUCCUGUCAUGCGUGAACAAGGUUGCUUGGUUAAUACCUGGGCAAAUUGAUGGUAACGCAAGAGGAAGAGACGGCUAACUCUGUGCCAGCAGCCGCGGUAAUACAGAGGUCUCAAGCGUUGUUCGGAAUCACUGGGCGUAAAGGGUGCGUAGGUGGCGUGGUAAGUCAGAUGUGAAAGACCGGGGCUCAACCUCGGAACUGCAUACGAUACUGCCAUGCUAGAGUACUGGAGAGGUGACUAGAAUUCUCGGUGUAGCAGUGAAAUGCGUAGAUAUCGAGAGGAAUACCAAAGGCGUAGGCAGGUCACUGGACAGUUACUGACACUGAGGCACGAAGGCCAGGGGAGCGAACGGGAUUAGAAACCCUGGUAGUCC